Molecule: ribosomal RNA, 302 nt
Filed under: uncultured bacterium
Lineage: Bacteria
Description: partial 16S ribosomal RNA
Rfam family: Bacterial small subunit ribosomal RNA
Source: RNAcentral
GCAGCCGCCGCGGUAAUACAGAGGGUGCGAGCGUUAAUCGGAUUUACUGGGCGUAAAGCGUGCGUAGGCGGCUUUUUAAGUCGGAUGUGAAAUCCCUGAGCUUAACUUAGGAAUUGCAUUCGAUACUGGGAAGCUAGAGUAUGGGAGAGGAUGGUAGAAUUCCAGGUGUAGCGGUGAAAUGCGUAGAGAUCUGGAGGAAUACCGAUGGCGAAGGCAGCCAUCUGGCCUAAUACUGACGCUGAGGUACGAAAGCAUGGGGAGCAAACAGGAUUAGAUACCCCAGUAGUCCCUGUCUCUUAUAU